This 1292-nucleotide ribosomal RNA is filed under the name Microbacterium sp. RNAcentral's name for it is "bacterial SSU rRNA". It matches the Rfam family "Bacterial small subunit ribosomal RNA", at positions 73 to 1374 of the family's 1533-position model. Lineage: Bacteria; Bacillati; Actinomycetota; Actinomycetes; Micrococcales; Microbacteriaceae. The record is from RNAcentral.
AGCGAGCUUGCUCCGCCGGAUCAGUGGCGAACGGGUGAGUAACACGUGAGCAACCUGCCCCGGACUCUGGGAUAAGCGCUGGAAACGGCGUCUAAUACCGGAUACGAGCUGCGAAGGCAUCUUCAGCAGCUGGAAAGAACUUCGGUCCGGGAUGGGCUCGCGGCCUAUCAGCUAGUUGGUGAGGUAACGGCUCACCAAGGCGUCGACGGGUAGCCGGCCUGAGAGGGUGACCGGCCACACUGGGACUGAGACACGGCCCAGACUCCUACGGGAGGCAGCAGUGGGGAAUAUUGCACAAUGGGCGCAAGCCUGAUGCAGCAACGCCGCGUGAGGGACGACGGCCUUCGGGUUGUAAACCUCUUUUAGCAGGGAAGAAGCCUUCGGGUGACGGUACCUGCAGAAAAAGCGCCGGCUAACUACGUGCCAGCAGCCGCGGUAAUACGUAGGGCGCAAGCGUUAUCCGGAAUUAUUGGGCGUAAAGAGCUCGUAGGCGGUCUGUCGCGUCUGCUGUGAAAACCCGAGGCUCAACCUCGGGCCUGCAGUGGGUACGGGCAGACUAGAGUGCGGUAGGGGAGAUUGGAAUUCCUGGUGUAGCGGUGGAAUGCGCAGAUAUCAGGAGGAACACCGAUGGCGAAGGCAGAUCUCUGGGCCGUAACUGACGCUGAGGAGCGAAAGGGUGGGGAGCAAACAGGCUUAGAUACCCUGGUAGUCCACCCCGUAAACGUUGGGAACUAGUUGUGGGGUCCAUUCCACGGAUUCCGUGACGCAGCUAACGCAUUAAGUUCCCCGCCUGGGGAGUACGGCCGCAAGGCUAAAACUCAAAGGAAUUGACGGGGACCCGCACAAGCGGCGGAGCAUGCGGAUUAAUUCGAUGCAACGCGAAGAACCUUACCAAGGCUUGACAUAUACGAGAACGCUGCAGAAAUGUAGAACUCUUUGGACACUCGUAAACAGGUGGUGCAUGGUUGUCGUCAGCUCGUGUCGUGAGAUGUUGGGUUAAGUCCCGCAACGAGCGCAACCCUCGUUCUAUGUUGCCAGCACGUAAUGGUGGGAACUCAUGGGAUACUGCCGGGGUCAACUCGGAGGAAGGUGGGGAUGACGUCAAAUCAUCAUGCCCCUUAUGUCUUGGGCUUCACGCAUGCUACAAUGGCCGGUACAAAGGGCUGCAAUACCGCAAGGUGGAGCGAAUCCCAAAAAGCCGGUCCCAGUUCGGAUUGAGGUCUGCAACUCGACCUCAUGAAGUCGGAGUCGCUAGUAAUCGCAGAUCAGCAACGCUGCGGUGAAUACGUUCC